This 301-nucleotide ribosomal RNA is filed under the name uncultured bacterium. RNAcentral's name for it is "partial 16S ribosomal RNA". It matches the Rfam family "Bacterial small subunit ribosomal RNA", at positions 509 to 809 of the family's 1533-position model. The record is from RNAcentral.
CAGCAGCCACGGGAAUACGAAGGGGGCUAGCGUUGUUCGGAAUUACUGGGCGUAAAGCGCACGUAGGCGGAUAUUUAAGUCAGGGGUGAAAUCCCAGAGCUCAACUCUGGAACUGCCUUUGAUACUGGGUAUCUUGAGUAUGGAAGAGGUGAGUGGAAUUCCGAGUGUAGAGGUGAAAUUCGUAGAUAUUCGGAGGAACACCAGUGGCGAAGGCAGCUCACUGGUCCAUUACUGACGCUGAGGUGCGAAAGCGUGGGGAGCAAACAGGAUUAGAUACCCGUGUAGUCCCUGUCUCUUAUAU